Molecule: long non-coding RNA, 1150 nt
Filed under: Podarcis muralis (Common wall lizard)
Lineage: Eukaryota; Metazoa; Chordata; Lepidosauria; Squamata; Lacertidae
Description: lncRNA (ENSPMRG00000005684.1)
Source: RNAcentral
UUAACCAACUACAGUCCCCAGAAUUCUCUGAGGGAUAAGAAUGCGCUUCAAAGGCACACAGUCUUUUGCCUCGGACCUUUUCGAAGAAUGCAUCUGCGUGGCUUCUUAUGUGCGCAGCCUGUAGCGUGGUCAAGACAGGAACCAUUAAUGGGCUUUAAAAUAGCGUAGACAACUGAAGAGCACCAGGCUCCACUCUUCACCACCCCAGCCACCAGCUCCUUGGCGCUGGACCUCCUUCUUUAAAUUGUGCUUGCUUGCUUGGGUUUAUAAAUAUAGAAACCUAAGCUAUACGAUGCCCCCCCUCCAAACUUGCCCCUCCCAUCUCAGCCUGGUGCAGUUCCUUCAGCUGCUCCUAUACUUGGUAUGACCUUUUCCCAUCUCUUCCCCACCCCCUUCCCGGCCCUCUCCCUUUCCUUGCUCUUUUCCUCCCCAGUGUUGUGAGCCUGGUGGCCAAUGAGCUUCUCCAGAAGAUCAAAUGUCCCUAUAACAGGAGGACUUAAUCGCCUGGUGGAGUUUGCAGACCCCGCAGCCUUUCUCCCAUUCGGCAGAAAGCUCCUUGCUUCUCACAGCAGCUCCCCCCUCUCAGAAACCUGCCAACAUGUCUGACAACGAAGAAGUGUAAGUAGAAGCGUAUCAAUAUUACCAUUGGUUUUAAAGGGCAUUUUUUUGGGGGGGGAGGGAGGUUUUCUGGUAGUAUGAAACAACUGGCCCUCACAGGUACGAAGUCAAUGACCUGUUCCGAAAUCAAUGAGGAGAAGCAACACCUAAUUUUACUGCAUUUAUUUAUUUAUUUAUUUAUUUAUUUAUUUAUGAAGUCAUAUGACCUAGGGCCAAAUCCACAACCUUAAAUAGCCGGUGCUUUUUGCUGCUUGCACAGAUCAUGGGCAGAAUGUACCGUAUUUUUCGCCCUAUAGGACGCACCGGCCCAUAGGACACACCUAGAUUUUGGGGGGUAAAAUAAAGGGGAAAAAAUUAUUUCCCCCCCCAGGCGCGGGGCUGGGGCGGGGGAAGCGCGGGCUUCCCCGACGCCAGCCCCCAGAACAGAACCCAGAGGAGCAGGACCUCUGGGAGCGUGUGGGAGCAGAACAGGACCUCUGGGAGCUUGUGGGGCUGGGGGCGGGGAAAGCAGAGCUUCCCUCUCCCCCAGCCC